Long non-coding RNA from Amphiprion ocellaris (clown anemonefish), 434 nucleotides. NCBI's taxonomy places the organism in Eukaryota, Metazoa, Chordata, Actinopteri, Pomacentridae. The record is from Ensembl.
GUGCAGGAUAAAGGACAAGUGCAGAGGAAAAGGAAGAUAUUUGCUUCACCACUGAGGAUUGAGACCACAUGGAUGGACUGAGGAUCGCUGUUGUCUACAAGGUAAUUAGAGCUGGAAAAUUAACGCUGCAGAAAGCCUGCUGGAUAUCAGCUUCAUAUAGGCUUCAACAACCGUGAGAAACUUUACAUCCUCCCCAACCUAAAUGUCUAACAGCCUCCUCCUUUUCCUCCUUCACUGUGACCCUGAAGUGGGUUGUAGCCAUAAUUAUGGUUUUACGUCCACCACAGAGAGUGUGGGUGGGGAUGCUGCUAGCAUUAGUGGUGGUGGUGGAGCUUCCCGGGGCCUUGCAGAAGUGCAUCUUUGAUGAGGUUCAGGCUCAGGUCAGAGUGGUCAGAGCUGCACCCACAGAGCCCAGACUCAGAGCACCGACCGGG